CCGGAUGAUAACUCAAGAACGUUUGGGGCUAGGAUCAUGAAACUUCACAGGUACAUUGAUCAUGACUUGCAGAUGACCCCUAUUGAUUUUGAGGUCACUAGGUCAAAGGUCAAGGUCACAGUGACCCGAAAUAGUAAAAUGGUUUCCGGAUGAUAACUCAAGAAUGCAUACGCCUAGGAUCAUGAAACUUCAUGGGUAGAUUGAUCAUGACUCGCAGAUGGCCCCUAUUGAUUUUGAGGUCACUAGGUCAAAGGUCAAGGUCACGGUGACCCGAAAUAGUAAAAUGGUUUCCGGAUGAUAACUCAAGAACGCAUACGCCUAGGAUCAUGAAACUUCAUGGGUAGAUUGAUCAUGACUCGCAGAUGACCCCUAUUGAUUUUGAGGUCACUAGGUCAAAGGUCAAGGUCACAGUGACCCGAAAUAGUAAAAUGGUUUCCGGAUGAUAACUCAAGAACGCUUAGGCCUAGGAUCAUGAAACUUGAUAGGUAGAUUGAUCAUGACUCGCAGAUGACCCCUAUUGAUUUUCAGGUCACUAGGUCAAAGGUCAAGGUCACAGUGACCCGAAAUAGUAAAAUGGUUUCCGGAUGAUAACUCAAGAACGCUUAGGCCUAGGAUCAUGAAACUUGAUAGGUAGAUUGAUCAUGACUCGCAGAUGACCCCUAUUGAUUUUCAGGUCACUAGGUCAAAGGUCAAGGUCACAGUGACCCGAAAUAGUAAAAUGGUGUCUGGAUGAUAACUCAAGAACGCUUAUGGCUAGGAUCAUGAAACUUCAUAGGUACAUUGAUCAUGACUGGCAGAUGACCCCUAUUGAUUUUCAGGUCACUAGGUCAAAGGUCAAGGUCGCAGUGACAAAAAACAUAUUCACACAAUGGCUGUCACUACAACGGAGAGCCCAUAUGGGGGGCAUGCAUGUUUUACAAACAGCCCUUGUUUAUUU
Molecule: long non-coding RNA, 937 nt
Organism: Dreissena polymorpha
Lineage: Eukaryota; Metazoa; Mollusca; Bivalvia; Myida; Dreissenidae
Exons: 3
Source: RefSeq, a predicted model, not a curated record